Molecule: long non-coding RNA, 269 nt
Filed under: Nicotiana benthamiana
Lineage: Eukaryota; Viridiplantae; Streptophyta; Magnoliopsida; Solanales; Solanaceae
Description: long non-coding RNA (NBEN_LNC024865)
Source: RNAcentral
UUUUGUAAAGGCGAAACUUUCGAGGGAAUAAGAAUCAGAGGGAUCCUUUGAAGAAUUUGACUUCAAAUUCUCGGUUUUCGCCAUCGAAAAUUGAAGAAUCAAUGAUAAAAAGUGUUCGGUUUUUAUCAAUGAUUUAUUGAAUUGGAAUCCCACAUUUGGGAGGUAAAUCAAUGGUGGAAUAAUGGAGAGGCUUUUGGAGUAGCACCAGUAAGGCAAAACGAAAGAGUAAAAGCCAAAACGGUUUUGAAUUUUCCAUAAAUUGAGGGAGG